GCCCCCGUAGCUCAGUGGAUAGAGCAACGGCCUUCUAAUCCGUUGGUCGCGCGUUCGAAUCGCGCCGGGGGCACCA
RNAcentral lists this transfer RNA (76 nucleotides) under Arthrobacter flavus. Its description in RNAcentral is "tRNA-Arg". It matches the Rfam family "tRNA". From Rfam's summary of the family: Transfer RNA (tRNA) molecules are approximately 80 nucleotides in length. Their secondary structure includes four short double-helical elements and three loops (D, anti-codon, and T loops). RNAcentral also lists the same sequence under 5 other names. Lineage: Bacteria; Bacillati; Actinomycetota; Actinomycetes; Micrococcales; Micrococcaceae. The record is from RNAcentral.